UAACACGUAGGGGGCGAGCGUUGUCCGGAAUCAUUGGGCGUAAAGAGCUCGUAGGCGGCUCAGUCAGUCGGGUGUGAAACCCCCAGGCUCAACCUGGGGACGCCAUCCGAUACUGCUGUGGCUAGAGUCCAGUAGAGGAGUGUGGAAUUCCCGGUGUAGCGGUGAAAUGCGCAGAUAUCGGGAGGAACACCAACGGCGAAGGCAGCACUCUGGGCUGGUACUGACGCUGAGGAGCGAAAGCGUGGGUGGCAAACAGGA
This 258-nucleotide ribosomal RNA is filed under the name uncultured prokaryote. RNAcentral's name for it is "partial 16S ribosomal RNA". It matches the Rfam family "Bacterial small subunit ribosomal RNA", at positions 521 to 777 of the family's 1533-position model. The record is from RNAcentral.